AUUGAACGCUGGCGGCAGGCCUAACACAUGCAAGUCGAGCGGAUGAAGGGAGCUUGCUCCUGGAUUCAGCGGCGGACGGGUGAGUAAUGCCUAGGAAUCUGCCUGGUAGUGGGGGAUAACGUCCGGAAACGGGCGCUAAUACCGCAUCCGUCCUGAGGGAGAAAGUGGGGGAUCUUCGGACCUCACGCUAUCAGAUGAGCCUAGGUCGGAUUAGCUAGUUGGUGGGGUAAAGGCCUACCAAGGCGACGAUCCGUAACUGGUCUGAGAGGAUGAUCAGUCACACUGGAACUGAGACACGGUCCAGACUCCUACGGGAGGCAGCAGUAGGGAAUAUUGGACAAUGGGCGAAAGCCUGAUCCAGCCAUGCCGCGUGUGUGAAGAAGGUCUUCGGAUUGUAAAGCACUUUAAGUUGGGAGGAAGGGCAGUAAGUUAAUACCUUGCUGUUUUGACGGUACCAACAGAAUAAGCACCGGCUAACUUCGUG
RNAcentral lists this ribosomal RNA (484 nucleotides) under uncultured bacterium. RNAcentral's name for it is "partial 16S ribosomal RNA". It matches the Rfam family "Bacterial small subunit ribosomal RNA", at positions 30 to 507 of the family's 1533-position model. The record is from RNAcentral.